Molecule: ribosomal RNA, 1472 nt
Filed under: Lactiplantibacillus plantarum
Lineage: Bacteria; Bacillati; Bacillota; Bacilli; Lactobacillales; Lactobacillaceae
Description: bacterial SSU rRNA
Rfam family: Bacterial small subunit ribosomal RNA
Source: RNAcentral
GCAGGGGGGCGUGCUAUACAUGCAAGUCGAACGAACUCUGGUAUUGAUUGGUGCUUGCAUCAUGAUUUACAUUUGAGUGAGUGGCGAACUGGUGAGUAACACGUGGGAAACCUGCCCAGAAGCGGGGGAUAACACCUGGAAACAGAUGCUAAUACCGCAUAACAACUUGGACCGCAUGGUCCGAGUUUGAAAGAUGGCUUCGGCUAUCACUUUUGGAUGGUCCCGCGGCGUAUUAGCUAGAUGGUGGGGUAACGGCUCACCAUGGCAAUGAUACGUAGCCGACCUGAGAGGGUAAUCGGCCACAUUGGGACUGAGACACGGCCCAAACUCCUACGGGAGGCAGCAGUAGGGAAUCUUCCACAAUGGACGAAAGUCUGAUGGAGCAACGCCGCGUGAGUGAAGAAGGGUUUCGGCUCGUAAAACUCUGUUGUUAAAGAAGAACAUAUCUGAGAGUAACUGUUCAGGUAUUGACGGUAUUUAACCAGAAAGCCACGGCUAACUACGUGCCAGCAGCCGCGGUAAUACGUAGGUGGCAAGCGUUGUCCGGAUUUAUUGGGCGUAAAGCGAGCGCAGGCGGUUUUUUAAGUCUGAUGUGAAAGCCUUCGGCUCAACCGAAGAAGUGCAUCGGAAACUGGGAAACUUGAGUGCAGAAGAGGACAGUGGAACUCCAUGUGUAGCGGUGAAAUGCGUAGAUAUAUGGAAGAACACCAGUGGCGAAGGCGGCUGUCUGGUCUGUAACUGACGCUGAGGCUCGAAAGUAUGGGUAGCAAACAGGAUUAGAUACCCUGGUAGUCCAUACCGUAAACGAUGAAUGCUAAGUGUUGGAGGGUUUCCGCCCUUCAGUGCUGCAGCUAACGCAUUAAGCAUUCCGCCUGGGGAGUACGGCCGCAAGGCUGAAACUCAAAGGAAUUGACGGGGGCCCGCACAAGCGGUGGAGCAUGUGGUUUAAUUCGAAGCUACGCGAAGAACCUUACCAGGUCUUGACAUACUAUGCAAAUCUAAGAGAUUAGACGUUCCCUUCGGGGACAUGGAUACAGGUGGUGCAUGGUUGUCGUCAGCUCGUGUCGUGAGAUGUUGGGUUAAGUCCCGCAACGAGCGCAACCCUUAUUAUCAGUUGCCAGCAUUAAGUUGGGCACUCUGGUGAGACUGCCGGUGACAAACCGGAGGAAGGUGGGGAUGACGUCAAAUCAUCAUGCCCCUUAUGACCUGGGCUACACACGUGCUACAAUGGAUGGUACAACGAGUUGCGAACUCGCGAGAGUAAGCUAAUCUCUUAAAGCCAUUCUCAGUUCGGAUUGUAGGCUGCAACUCGCCUACAUGAAGUCGGAAUCGCUAGUAAUCGCGGAUCAGCAUGCCGCGGUGAAUACGUUCCCGGGCCUUGUACACACCGCCCGUCACACCAUGAGAGUUUGUAACACCCAAAGUCGGUGGGGUAACCUUUUAGGAACCAGCCGCCUAAGGGGACAAAAAGA